Molecule: ribosomal RNA, 862 nt
Filed under: Ophiocordyceps caloceroides
Lineage: Eukaryota; Fungi; Ascomycota; Sordariomycetes; Hypocreales; Ophiocordycipitaceae
Description: SSU rRNA
Rfam family: Eukaryotic small subunit ribosomal RNA
Source: RNAcentral
UUAUAUAAGUUAUCGUUUAUUUGAUAGUACCUUACUACUUGGAUAACCGUGGUAAUUCUAGAGCUAAUACAUGCUUCAAAUCCCGACUUCGGAAGGGAUGUAUUUAUUAGAUUAAAAACCAAUGCCCUCUGGGCUCCUUGGUGAUUCAUAAUAACUUUUCGAAUCGCAUGGCCUUGCGCCGGCGAUGGUUCAUUCAAAUUUCUUCCCUAUCAACUUUCGAUGUUUGGGUAUUGGCCAAACAUGGUUACAACGGGUAACGGAGGGUUAGGGCUCGACCCCGGAGAAGGAGCCUGAGAAACGGCUACUACAUCCAAGGAAGGCAGCAGGCGCGCAAAUUACCCAAUCCCGAUUCGGGGAGGUAGUGACAAUAAAUACUGAUACAGGGCUCUUUUGGGUCUUGUAAUUGGAAUGAGUACAAUUUAAAUCCCUUAACGAGGAACAAUUGGAGGGCAAGUCUGGUGCCAGCAGCCGCGGUAAUUCCAGCUCCAAUAGCGUAUAUUAAAGUUGUUGUGGUUAAAAAGCUCGUAGUUGAACCUUGGGCCUGGCUGGCCGGUCCGCCUCACCGCGAGUACUGGUCCGGCCGGGCCUUUCCCUCUGUGGAACCCCAUGCCCUUCACUGGGUGUGGCGGGGAAACAGGACUUUUACUUUGAAAAAAUUAGAGUGCUCCAGGCAGGCCUAUGCUCGAAUACAUUAGCAUGGAAUAAUAAAAUAGGACGCGUGGUUCUAUUUUGUUGGUUUCUAGGACCGCCGUAAUGAUUAAUAGGGACAGUCGGGGGCAUCAGUAUUCAAUUGUCAGAGGUGAAAUUCUUGGAUUUAUUGAAGACUAACUACUGCGAAAGCAUUUGCCAAGGAUGUUUUCAU